AGUUGCUAGUGUGCUAGUGUGGCGGUCGCUUCGACAGGCGCUGAUGGUUUCCACCCGGUCAUAUUUAAACGUUGCACCUGCAUGCCGCUUACAGCAUAACAGUAGAUUGAAAUAUUCUGAUCAUGUUGUUUUAUAAUAUAGACACGUGAAAGCUAAUAUAUAUAUAUUAAGGUGUUUUAAACAACUUCUUUCAAAUACGCAAUCAUCGGAAUUUCAGGAUGUUUGCCAAAGCGUUUCGUGUGAAAUCUAACACGGUUGUCAAGGGAUCUGACAGGAGAAAACUCAAAACAGAUAUCUCCACUGCUUUCCCUUCAUUAUCAGCGGAGGAUGUUAACCAGCUUGUCCCAAAUAAAGAAGAGCUGAAUAUUGUGAAGAUUUAUGCACAUAAGGGAGAUGCAGCCACUCUGUACGUCCUUCAUAAAAAUCCCAUUUUCUUUCAGCUGGAGAAACAGAUUUUCCCUACAGUGUACACACUGUGGCGAUUUCCUGACAUGUUACCAGCAUUCACCACGUGGCCACCUGUCCUACAGAAGUUAGCUGGUGGAGCAGAUCUUAUGUUGCCAGGUGUAGUGGUAUCAUCUAGUGGCCUUCCUGAGGUAAAUCAAGGAGACUGCUGUGCUGUCAAUCUUGUGAUGAACAGGGCACCAGUUGCUGUUGGGACAGCAGCCAUGUCGAGUGCUGUGAUGAGGAAUAGUGGGAUGAAGGGAAAAGGAGUGAAUGUUUUGCACACCUACAUGGACCAGCUGUGGGCAUUUGGAGACAAGUCAAAUCCUCCAGUUAUACCGGUGACAGACUCUAUGGCACAGGUGGAGACAGAGGAAUGCGAGGAGGGAAUGACAGUAGACGGGCAAGCGAGUGAAGGACAGGACAACCCUGAACCUACAACAGUUGAAACAUCUUGUCAGAGCAUGCAGGAGCUUACACUGACAGAGCAAGACGCUCAGGUGUUGAAGGAUGAAGAACUGGUUGAUGAUGAUGAGGAGAGAGAAGACACUGACGGAGAAGAAAAUGACUCAAGAUCCCCACAAGAGCAAAUGGAUGCGCUAUUGUACCAGUGUUUCCUUCAUGCACUUAAGACUAAAGUAAAAAAGUCAGAGCUCCCCCUGCUGACCAGCAACUUUCUGCGCAACCACAUGGUGUCCUGCUGUCCUAGAGGAAAGCAAAUUGAUAUCAAGAAAUCAAGUUAUAAAAAGCUGUCUAAGUUUCUGCAGUGCAUGCAGCGAGAACACAGUCUGGUUCAGGUGAAGGAGUUGAGUAAAGGUGUGGAGAGCAUUGUAGAAGUUGACUGGAAAAACCCUGAAUUGUCCUCCUUCAGAACCCCAGAGGAUUGUGGGCAAGAGUCUGUGGAGGAGGGUGGAGCUUGUGAGGUCUCAUUCCAGCCCCCUGAAAUCACACCUCUGUACGGGGUCACUGCACGCCUGGAGCCUCUCUUUCAGGAUGCCCGGAAAAAAAAGGGAGCGACUCUAAAGGCCAGUGAAGUGAGGAAUAUCAUCAUAGAUUAUGUCAAGAAAUCUGAACUUGUUAAUGAAACUAACAAAAACUAUGUUAAUAUUAACCCUACACUUUGUGACUGCUUACUGGAAAAAUCAGAGUACCAUGAUGUAGAGACGCUGAAGUGGGAUGAUCUCAUUACCAGAACACUAAGUAAAAUGCAGGCAUGCCAUGAGGUGCUGUUUCCAGGUCAGCCUCCGAUGGUUAAGAAAGGUCAGAUGGAGCCCAUAGAGAUCACUGUAGCUUCCAGGGGCUCUAAUAAGAAGGUUACAAUUAUUAAAAACCUGGAGGCGUUCGGUUUGGACCCAGCUGUGGUGGCAGAUAUACUCCAGCAUCGGGUCCAGGCCAGCUGCAUCCUCCAGGAUUCCCCGGGCGUCAAAAACAAAGUUCUGGUGCAGGUCCAGGGAAAUCAGAUACAACAUGUUAGCAAAAUUCUGCUAGAUCAGUAUCACAUCCCACGAAAAUAUGUACAAGGUCUUGACAAAGCUCCUAAACCUGGGAAGAAGAAAUAGCAGACAUUCUCACAUCAUAUAGCUAUUUGUUUCUGUAACAUAUAGAAAAACUUUUGAUUUAUACAUCAUCUGAAAGUUGAAUAAUGUAUUGUUUGUUAGGAUAGGAUAAUAUGUGAGAUACAACUAUUUGAAAAUCUGGAAUCUGAGGGUGCAAAAAAUCAAAAUAUUGAGAAAUUUGCCUUUAAAGUGGUGCAAAUGAAGUCCUUGGCAACACAUAUUACAAAUGA
Misgurnus anguillicaudatus (oriental weatherfish) is the source of this 2230-nucleotide non-coding RNA. Lineage: Eukaryota; Metazoa; Chordata; Actinopteri; Cypriniformes; Cobitidae. The record is from RefSeq and is a predicted model, not a curated record.